UACGUAGGUGGCAAGCGUUUACUCGGAAUCACUAGGCGUAAAGCGCGGGUAGGCGGUUGGGUAAGUCUCUUGUGAAAGCUCCCGGCUUAACUGGGAGAGGUCAAGGGAAACUACCUGGCUAGAGUGCGGUAGAGGAAGCUGGAAUUCCUGGUGUAGCGGUGGAAUGCGCAGAUAUCGGGAGGAACACCGGUGGCGAAGGCGGCCUGCUGGGCAGUAGCUGACGCUGAGGCGCGA
This 234-nucleotide ribosomal RNA is filed under the name uncultured bacterium. RNAcentral's name for it is "partial 16S ribosomal RNA". It matches the Rfam family "Bacterial small subunit ribosomal RNA", at positions 524 to 756 of the family's 1533-position model. The record is from RNAcentral.